RNAcentral lists this ribosomal RNA (460 nucleotides) under uncultured bacterium. Its description in RNAcentral is "partial 16S ribosomal RNA". It matches the Rfam family "Bacterial small subunit ribosomal RNA", at positions 338 to 795 of the family's 1533-position model. The record is from RNAcentral.
CCUACGGGUGGCAGCAGUGAGGAAUAUUGGUCAAUGGGCGAGAGCCUGAACCAGCCAAGUCGCGUGAAGGAUGAAGGAUCUAUGGUUUGUAAACUUCUUUUAUAUGGGAAUAAAGUGAGGAACGUGUGCCUUUUUGUAUGUACCAUAUGAAUAAGCAUCGGCUAACUCCGUGCCAGCAGCCGCGGUAAUACGGAGGAUGCGAGCGUUAUCCGGAUUUAUUGGGUUUAAAGGGUGCGUAGGGGGUUAAUUAAGUCAGCGGUGAAAGUUUGUGGCUCAACCAUAAAAUUGCCGUUGAAACUGGUUGCCUUGCGUAUAUUUGAGGUAGGCGGAAUGCGUGGUGUAGCGGUGAUAUGCAUCGCUAUCACGCAGCACUCCGAUUGCGAAGGCAGCUUACUAAACUAUACCUGACACUGUCGCACGAACGCGUGGGGAUCAAACAGGAUUCGCUACCCGGGUAGUC